CCUCUCCUCGCCUCGUGUUACUCCGGUUUCCGCUGAUCGAUCAAACCAGAGCUGCGGAUGGCAUGAGAGAAGACUACUUUGGCGAUGAGCAGGAAGGAUUCGACUGAAGAAACCCUAUAAAGUUUGAAAGAAUGGCGUCGGUUCGAAGAGACGUGGAUCACAAGGUAUAAAGACGAAUUCUGAUUGGAUUAAAAUCGGGAGUCGAGAAGAUGAGAAGGGAACUGGAAGCUGAAGAUCGAGAAGAAGAAGAGAAGAAGAAGAAGAAAGGAGGAUAGCCAAAAGAUUUGCCGAACUUCGGCUAAUUUGCGUCACCUACGUUGCAAAAUCACAAA
Molecule: long non-coding RNA, 332 nt
Filed under: Linum usitatissimum (flax)
Lineage: Eukaryota; Viridiplantae; Streptophyta; Magnoliopsida; Malpighiales; Linaceae
Description: long non-coding RNA (LUSI_LNC004331)
Source: RNAcentral